UGGCUCAGUUGGUAGAGCGUGUGACUCUUGAUCUCAGGGUUGUGAGUUCAAGCCCCAC
Non-coding RNA from Ailuropoda melanoleuca (giant panda), 58 nucleotides. Lineage: Eukaryota; Metazoa; Chordata; Mammalia; Carnivora; Ursidae. The record is from Rfam.